Caenorhabditis elegans is the source of this 21-nucleotide non-coding RNA. The record is from Ensembl. Lineage: Eukaryota; Metazoa; Nematoda; Chromadorea; Rhabditida; Rhabditidae.
UAGGAAUUGUGUUCACCAACG